CUUCCCGGCGGGCGUCACGAGUCGGUCUUGCUCUUCUUUACCUCCCUCCUUCUCUCCUCUACCUCUCAGUCGAGUAGUCUGGCAGCUGGUUUAAGGGUGCGCAUCCGCGUGCGGAGAGACUCCCCAGAGCCAUGCCCGAGGUAGUGGAUACAUGCUCCUUGGCCUCUCCGGCUUCGGUCUGCCGAACCAAGCACCUGCACCUGCGCUGCAGCGUCGACUUUACCCGCCGGGUGCUCACCGGCACCGCCGCGCUCACGGUGCAGUCUCAGGAGGACAAUCUGCGAAGCCUGACCUUGGAUACAAAGGACCUUACGAUAGAAAAAGCAGUCAUCAAUGGACAAGAAGUCAAAUAUACUCUUGGAGAAAGACAAAGUUACAAAGGAUCACCAAUGGAAAUCUCUCUUCCUAUUGCUCUGAGCAAAAAUCAAGAAGUCGUUAUAGAAAUUUCUUUUGAGACCUCUCCAAAGUCUUCGGCUCUUCAGUGGCUCACUCCUGAACAAACUUCUGGGAAGGAACACCCCUAUCUCUUUAGUCAGUGCCAGGCCAUCCACUGCAGAGCAAUUCUUCCUUGUCAGGACACUCCUUCUGUGAAAUUAACCUACAGUGCAGAGGUAUCUGUCCCUAAAGAAUUGGUGGCACUUAUGAGUGCCAUUCGUGAUGGAGAAGCACCUGACCCAGAAGACCCAAGCAGGAAAAUCUAUAAAUUCAGCCAAAAAGUGCCCAUGCCCUGCUACUUGAUUGCUUUAGUUGUUGGAGCUUUAGAAAGCAGGCAAAUUGGCCCAAGAACGUUGGUUUGGUCUGAGAAAGAGCAGGUGGAAAAGUCUGCUUAUGAAUUUUCUGAGACUGAAUCUAUGCUUAAAAUUGCAGAAGAUCUGGGAGGACCGUAUGUAUGGGGGCAGUAUGACCUGUUAGUCCUCCCGCCGUCCUUCCCUUAUGGCGGCAUGGAGAAUCCUUGCCUCACGUUCGUAACUCCCACUCUGCUGGCAGGAGACAAGUCACUCUCCAACGUUAUCGCACAUGAAAUAUCUCAUAGCUGGACAGGAAAUCUAGUGACCAACAAAACUUGGGACCACUUUUGGUUAAACGAAGGACAUACUGUGUAUUUAGAGCGCCACAUUUGUGGACGACUGUUUGGAGAAAAGUUCAGACAUUUUCACGCACUGGGAGGAUGGGGAGAACUACAGAAUUCGAUAAAGACUUUUGGAGAUACACAUCCUUACACCAAACUUGUGGUUGAUCUGACGAAUGUGGACCCCGAUGUAGCAUAUUCUUCAGUGCCCUACGAGAAGGGCUUUGCUUUACUCUUUUACCUUGAACAACUUCUUGGGGGUCCAGAGGUUUUCCUAGGAUUCCUAAAGGCUUAUGUUGAAAAAUUUUCCUACAAGAGCAUAACCACUGAUGACUGGAAGGAUUUCCUGUAUUCCCACUUUAAAGAUAAGGUUGAUCUUCUCAAUCAAGUUGACUGGAAUGCGUGGCUUUACUCUCCUGGAAUGCCUCCUGUAAAACCCAAUUAUGAUAUGACUCUCACAAAUGCCUGCCUUGCCUUAAGUCAACGGUGGAUGACUGUGAGCCAAAGAAGAGGAUUUAAAUUCAUUCACCCCAGCAGACCUGAAGGAUCUCUCUUCUCAUCAGUUGAACGAAUUUUUAGCACAGAUGCUCCAGAGAGCGCCUCUUCCAUUGGGGCACAUAAAGCGAAUGCAAGAGGUGUACAACUUGAAUGCCAUUAACAAUUCUGAAAUACGAUUCAGAUGGUUACGGCUCUGCAUUCAAUCGAAAUGGGAGGAAGCAAUUCCUUUGGCUCUCAAAAUGGCGACUGAGCAAGGGCGAAUGAAGUUUACACGGCCUCUAUUCAAGGACCUUGCUGCCUUUGACAAAAGCCAUCAUCAGGCUGUGCGUACCUACCAAGAGCACAAAGCAAGUAUGCACCCCGUGACCGCCAUGCUGGUGGGGAAAGACUUAAAAGUGGAUUAAGGACCUACCAACUGCUGAUUUCAGAUAGUUCUCUUUUUUAAACCUAAUUCACGAAGAAAUAUACAAGUUCAGCUCAUAUGUAACUAAAAAUGUUGUUUUUGUUCUGGCUUUUUAUUGUUUUGUCAGUGAUUUUCAUAAAUAAAGCUGAGCUACCUUCCCCCCCACA
This is an RNA transcript of Enhydra lutris kenyoni (northern sea otter), 2137 nucleotides long. It is a transcript of the gene named leukotriene A4 hydrolase, with no coding region annotated. The transcript has 19 exons. Lineage: Eukaryota; Metazoa; Chordata; Mammalia; Carnivora; Mustelidae. The record is from RefSeq and is a predicted model, not a curated record.